UGGCCAUGCAUUUCAUAGUCCUACUUAAUCAAGAGGCCUAUGGAUAUCACCCCUAAUAUAUAGGAGGGUUAAAUUCCAUCUAGAUCACUCAUAUUCCUCACACGAUUCAUGAUGUACCCAAUAAUCAUAUUUAUAGUCCACCCUAUUAAAGGUGACAUUUGAUAAUAUCCAAGUACAUAAAUUCACGUGUAGUAAUAUAGUGAUUUCAGGUCGGAGGACCAUUACAUCAUUGUCACUAUGAGAAUCGCU
This 249-nucleotide long non-coding RNA is filed under the name Panax ginseng (ginseng). Its description in RNAcentral is "long non-coding RNA (PGIN_LNC009707)". Lineage: Eukaryota; Viridiplantae; Streptophyta; Magnoliopsida; Apiales; Araliaceae. The record is from RNAcentral.